GUGAGGAAUUUUCCGCAAUGGGCGAAAGCCUGACGGAGCAAUGCCGCGUGAAGGAUGAAGGCCUAUGGGUUGUAAACUUCUUUUCUCAGAAAAGAAUUAUGACGGUAUCUGAGGAAUAAGCAUCGGCUAACUCUGUGCCAGCAGCCGCGGUAAGACAGAGGAUGCAAGCGUUAUCCGGAAUGAUUGGGCGUAAAGCGUCUGUAGGUUGUUUAAAAAGUAUUCUGUCAAAGAUUAGGGCUUAACCCUAGAUAGGCAGAAUAAACUUUUAAGCUAGAGUUUGGUAGAGGCAGAGGGAAUUCCCGGUGGAGCGGUGAAAUGCGUAGAUAUCGGGAGGAACACCAAAGGCGAAGGCACUCUGCUGGGCCAAUACUAACACUGAGAGACGAAAGCGAGGGGAGCAAAUGGGAUUAGAAACCUCGGUAGUCC
Molecule: ribosomal RNA, 426 nt
Filed under: uncultured bacterium
Lineage: Bacteria
Description: partial 16S ribosomal RNA
Rfam family: Bacterial small subunit ribosomal RNA
Source: RNAcentral